ACCUAAGUUUGUUAUUCGUAUGAGCUUUCAUGUGCAUGCACACUUCUUCAGAUCUGAAGAAGUGUGCAUGCACAUGAAAGCUCAUAACAGUAACAAACUUAGUUGG
This 106-nucleotide microRNA precursor is filed under the name Podarcis lilfordi (Lilford's wall lizard). Lineage: Eukaryota; Metazoa; Chordata; Lepidosauria; Squamata; Lacertidae. The record is from RNAcentral.